RNAcentral lists this ribosomal RNA (466 nucleotides) under uncultured bacterium. Its description in RNAcentral is "partial 16S ribosomal RNA". It matches the Rfam family "Bacterial small subunit ribosomal RNA", at positions 29 to 506 of the family's 1533-position model. The record is from RNAcentral.
ACGAACGCUGGCGGCGUGCUUAACACCUGCAAGUCGAACGGAAAGGCCCUGCUUUUGUGGGGUACUCGAGUGGCGAACGGGUGAGUAACACGUGAGUAACCUGCCCUUGACUUUGGGAUAACUUCAGGAAACUGGGGCUAAUACCGGAUAGGAGCUCCUGCUGCAUGGUGGGGGUUGGAAAGUUUCGGCGGUUGGGGAUGGACUCGCGGCUUAUCAGCUUGUUGGUGGGGUAGUGGCUUACCAAGGCUUUGACGGGUAGCCGGCCUGAGAGGGUGACCGGCCACAUUGGGACUGAGAUACGGCCCAGACUCCUACGGGAGGCAGCAGUGGGGAAUAUUGCACAAUGGGCGGAAGCCUGAUGCAGCAACGCCGCGUGCGGGAUGACGGCCUUCGGGUUGUAAACCGCUUUCGCCUGUGACGAAGCGUGAGUGACGGUAAUGGGUAAAGAAGCACCGGCUAACUACGU